UGGGGAAUAUUGGACAAUGGGCGCAAGCCUGAUCCAGCAAUACCGCGUGUGUGAAGAAGGCCUGAGGGUUGUAAAGCACUUUCAAUGGGGAGGAAAAAUGCAGUCUUAAUACGGCUGCCCUUGACAUUACCCAUACAAGAAGCACCGGCUAACUCCGUGCCAGCAGCCGCGGUAAUACGGAGGGUGCGAGCGUUAAUCGGAAUUACUGGGCGUAAAGCGUGCGUAGGCGGCCUGUUAAGUCAGAUGUGAAAGCCCUGGGCUCAACCUGGGAACGGCAUUUGAAACUGGCAGGCUAGAGUUAGGUAGAGGGGAGUGGAAUUUCAGGUGUAGCGGUGAAAUGCGUAGAUAUCUGAAGGAACACCAGUGGCGAAGGCGGCUCCCUGGACCCAAACUGACGCUGAGGUACGAAAGCGUGGGUAGCAAACAGGAUUAGAUACCCCUGUAGUCCCUGAGCGGGCUGGCAAGGCGCAU
Molecule: ribosomal RNA, 471 nt
Filed under: uncultured bacterium
Lineage: Bacteria
Description: bacterial SSU rRNA
Rfam family: Bacterial small subunit ribosomal RNA
Source: RNAcentral